UACGAAGGGGGCUAGCGUUGCUCGGAAUCACUGGGCGUAAAGGGUGCGUAGGCGGGUUUUUAAGUCAGGGGUGAAAUCCUGGAGCUCAACUCCAGAACUGCCUUUGAUACUGAAGAUCUUGAGUUCGGGAGAGGUGAGUGGAGCUGCGAGUGUAGAGGUGAAAUUCGUAGAUAUUCGCAAGAACACCAGUGGCGAAGGCGGCUCACUGGCCCGAUACUGACGCUGAGGCACGAAAGCGUGGGGAGCAAACAGG
Molecule: ribosomal RNA, 253 nt
Filed under: uncultured bacterium
Lineage: Bacteria
Description: partial 16S ribosomal RNA
Rfam family: Bacterial small subunit ribosomal RNA
Source: RNAcentral